CGGGAAUUUUGGGCAAUGGGCGAAAGCCUGACCCAGCAACGCCGCGUGAAGGAUGAAGUAUUUCGGUAUGUAAACUUCGAAAGAAUGGGAAGAAUAAAUGACGGUACCAUUUAUAAGCUCCGGCUAACUACGUGCCAGCAGCCGCGGUAAUACGUAGGGAGCAAGCGUUGUUCGGAUUUACUGGGCGUAAAGGGCGCGUAGGCGGCGUGUCAAGUCAAUUGUGAAAUCUCCGGGCUUAACUCGGAACGGCCAAUUGAUACUGUCAUGCUAGAGUGCAGAAAGGGCAAUCGGAAUUCUUGGUGUAGCGGUGAAAUGCGUAGAUAUCAAGAGGAACACCUGAGGCGAAGGCGGGUUGCUAGGCUGACACUGACGCUGAGGCGCGAAAGCCAGGGGAGCAAA
RNAcentral lists this ribosomal RNA (399 nucleotides) under uncultured bacterium. RNAcentral describes it as "bacterial SSU rRNA". It matches the Rfam family "Bacterial small subunit ribosomal RNA", at positions 356 to 772 of the family's 1533-position model. The record is from RNAcentral.